Molecule: ribosomal RNA, 468 nt
Filed under: uncultured bacterium
Lineage: Bacteria
Description: partial 16S ribosomal RNA
Rfam family: Bacterial small subunit ribosomal RNA
Source: RNAcentral
GACGAACGCUGGCGGCGUGCUUAACACAUGCAAGUCGAACGGAAAGGCCCUGCUUUUGUGGGGUGCUCGAGUGGCGAACGGGUUAGUAACACGUGAGUAACCUGCCCUUGACUUUGGGAUAACUUCAGGAAACUGGGGCUAAUACCGGAUAGGAGCUCCUGCUGCAUGGUGGGGGUUGGAAAGUUUCGGCGGUUGGGGAUGGACUCGCGGCUUAUCAGCUUGUUGGGGGGGUAGUGGCUUACCAAGGCUUUGACGGGUAGCCGGCCUGAGAGGGUGACCGGCCACAUUGGGACGGAGGUACGGCCCAGACUACUACGGGAGGCAGCAGUGGGGAAUAAUGCACAAUGGUCGGAAGCCUGAUGCAGCAACGCCGCGUGCGGGAUGACGGCCGUCGGGUUGUAAACCGCUUUCGCCUGUAACGAAGCGUGAGUGACGGUAAUGGGUAAAGAAGCACCGGCUAACUACGUG